AUUGAACGCUGGCGGCAGGCCUAACACAUGCAAGUCGAGCGAGCGGCGGACGGGUGAGUAAUGUAUGGGGACUGCCCGAUAGAGGGGGAUAACUACUGGAAACGGUGGCUAAUACCCCAUACUGUCGGAUAACCCAUAUGGUAUUAGCUAGUAGGUAAGGUAAUGGCUUACCUAGGCGACGAUCCCUAGCUGGUCUGAGAGGAUGAUCAGCCACACUGGGACUGAGAAACGGCCCAGACUCCUACGGAGGCAGCAGUGGGGAAUAUUGCACAAUGGGCGAAAGCCUGAUGCAGCCAUGCCGCGUGUAUGAAGAAGGCCUUAGGGUUGUAAAGUACUGUCAGUAGGGAGGCGGUACCGACAGAAGAAGCACCGGCUAACUCCGUGCCAGCAGCCGCGGUAAUAC
This 403-nucleotide ribosomal RNA is filed under the name uncultured bacterium. Its description in RNAcentral is "partial 16S ribosomal RNA". It matches the Rfam family "Bacterial small subunit ribosomal RNA", at positions 30 to 526 of the family's 1533-position model. The record is from RNAcentral.